GUGGAUUAGAUACCCGGGUAGUCCACGCUGUAAACGAUGUUCACUCGCUGUUUGCGAUACACAGUAAGCGGCUGAGCGAAAGCAUUAAGUGAACCACCUGGGGAGUACGAUCGCAAGGUUGAAACUCAAAGGAAUUGACGGGGGCCCGCACAAGCGGAGGAACAUGUGGUUUAAUUCGAUGAUACGCGAGGAACCUUACCUGGGCUUAAAUGUAGAUUGCAUAAUUUAGAAAUAGGUUUUCCCUUCGGGGCUAUUUACAAGGUGCUGCACGGCCGUCGUCAACU
Molecule: ribosomal RNA, 284 nt
Filed under: uncultured bacterium
Lineage: Bacteria
Description: partial 16S ribosomal RNA
Rfam family: Bacterial small subunit ribosomal RNA
Source: RNAcentral